This is an RNA transcript of Nyctereutes procyonoides (raccoon dog), 2092 nucleotides long. It is a transcript of the gene named coiled-coil-helix-coiled-coil-helix domain containing 5, with no coding region annotated. NCBI's taxonomy places the organism in Eukaryota, Metazoa, Chordata, Mammalia, Carnivora, Canidae. The transcript has 5 exons. The record is from RefSeq and is a predicted model, not a curated record.
GGCGCCGCCAUGACAGGUGGGGCCUAAAGGGAAUGGGCUGCUUGCCGGUUCUGCGACCGGAAAAGAAAACGGGAUGAGGACGGCCGAGCUGGGCGCCGCCAUGACACUCUGUACCGGAAAAGGCGGGGCGCUCCCCCCCUGACUGAGUUCCUACGGGCAUCGGCCUCGAGAUGCAGGCGGCCCUGGAGAUCACUGCUCGCUACUGUGGCCGAGAGCUGGAGCAAUAUGGCCAGUGUGUGGUGGCCAAGCCUGAGUCAUGGCAGCGAGACUGUCACCACCUUAAGAUGAGUAUUGCUCAGUGCACGUCCUCCCACCCAAUCAUCCGUCAGAUCCGCCAGGCUUGUGCUGAGCCUUUUGAGGCCUUUGAAGAGUGUCUUCGACAGAAUGAGGCAGCUGUGGGCAACUGUGCAGAGCAUGUGCGCCGCUUCCUGCAGUGUGCUGAGCAGGUGCAACCACCACGCUCACCCUCAGCUAUGGAGACAAAGCCACUUCCUACCUCCUGAGGACCCUUUGAACCACAGGAAAACUGGACCUGAGUGACUGAUCACUUGAUGCCACCAGCCCUGAAGAGCAGGCAGAUGGAGUCAUGAGAGCCCUGGAUAAUCCAACCCUGAGAAUGGAGUGCAGAUAAUAUAUUUGGAAUGUGAUUCCAGAAACAUUGGAGAGGAAUGGAGAAGUGAGACAGAAGAAGGCAACCAAUAAAAGGUGCAUUAUCAAGCCAGUUAUCACAGUGGGCAGUGGGCUCUAUACUCAGUGGGGUAUAGAUCACCAGCUUCCCAUCUGUCAUGGGGGCUGUUUUCAUGGGCAUUGACCAUUUAGCACUACUGUCUUCUUUGUGUGUGGUCACGUGCCCUGCCAUCAAAGAAGCCCUGAGUGGAGAGUAGCGGAGAAUCAAGUAAGUAACGUUCAGUGCCCAGAAGAGUGCUGAGUGGAUCUGGGCAGGGACUAGCAGUGGCUGCUGCAGCUUCUGAUUGUUUCUUCUUGGGCAUAUACACUCUGUGGGCCCAGCUGAUGGAUCACGGGCUCGCCAGCAUGGGCAGGUCCUGAGGGGCAAAGGGCAGAGAGACACAGAUAUGGGUGAGAGAUCUGGGAAUGCCCAGCUCAGUGUGCCCAGUGCCUGCACCCAGAUUCACCAUUCAGACAAGUCCCUUCCCCUUGGAGGGGACUCCAGACUUCUAGAAAUUAGAAGUGACUGGCCAGCACUGACUGGAGUAGCCAUUUGAAACCUAAGGCUUGUGCUCUGCCUUGGAAAAAUGAGCUAGAGAGUCUCCUGGGGAUUUCUUCUUUAAGACAAAGUUGUCAGUUGGCUUGGGAACUAAGAUGGAAGUCCUGCAGUCAUAGUUGUAGGAGCCAUCAGAAGCCAUGUGGCACAAACCAGAGAAAACCCAGGUAGCGAAAAGGGAUGUGAUAGUUCUUGGGGUCCCUGAAAGGGCUGCUUGGGGCCUAGUGGCUUUCUAUUCCUAGCUUUGGUUUCCUUGGGAUGUGGAUUGAGUCCUCAGGUUUCUUUGUAUGUUUUCAGUCAAUCCCACUUUGCUUAGGUAAGCUUGAGUGGGAUUCUGCUCUGUAUAAUUAAAGAAAUGAAAAAAAAUUAAAGAAAUGUAAUAAAGGGGUCCCUGGGUGGCUCAGUUAAGAACCCAACUUUGGAUUUUGACUUGGAUCAUGAGAUCGGCCCCAUGUCAGGCUCUAUACUCUGAGGAUUCUGCUUGAGAUUCUCUCUCUUUCUCUCCCUCUGCCCCAACUCCUCCCCUGCCCUUCUCAAUUAAAAAAAAAAAAAGUAUAACAAACAAAACAGGUUAAGACUACAUUUUAGAAUCUCUUAAGUGACCUCUCUUCCAGUAGGCUACACCAGCUUCCUUAUCUGGUGGUAUACCAGGGGUCCCAGGGGAAGCAAAAAUGGAAACUUCAAAGUCAUCAUUUUUAUCACAUUCUAUUGGUCAAUGCAAGUCUCAGGGCCAACCCAGAUUAAAGGGGUGGGGAGACUACCUCUCGAUGGCAUUUGGCUGAAAGGGAUUUUGCCCACAUUUAAACUACCAUAAAAAUUUAAUAGUUUGGGGGCUUCUGGAUAGUGCAGUUGGUACAGUCAACUCUUUUG